This is a non-coding RNA of Pelobates cultripes (western spadefoot toad), 26732 nucleotides long. The record is from the annotation of a GenBank genome assembly. Lineage: Eukaryota; Metazoa; Chordata; Amphibia; Anura; Pelobatidae.
UGCUUGUAGAAGAGUCAUGCCAUUUAAGUUUGGAUGAAGUUCUAGAAGGAAACGACAGUUCCCCCUAUAUUAAGGAAACCAAUGAAUUAUCACAGCAUAGUAAACUGAGAAAGAUUGUGUUUGUGAGCUACAGUUAGAACACAACUGCUGUUCACAAAUAGGAAGAGAUAGACCCCAAUCAGAUGUAACAAGACCACAAGUCAGUUCCAAGUUUCACCACAUUUUGCAUACACCAAUAUGAGGCUGGAGAACCAGAGAGAGUUCAAGAGCACUCUAAAACUGAUGCUGAUAAAGCCAGGAAUAAUCAGGUGGAGAUUCCUUGAAGUGGAUUCAGGAUUGUUGGCUGCUGCAAAGAGGUUCUGAGUGUUCACUACAGUAUUUGUGUAUUUGCAUGGGAAUUGCUGGUGCUAUGUACUCUUAUGUUCAAGUCACUGCUGAUAUGGGUAUAUAUGUACUAAGAGAGCUACAAGUGUUAAUGCAUAUUGAUUCCAGUCUUAGUUAAACUUUAAAGGGACACUCCAGGCACCCAGACCACUUCUGCCCAUUGGAGUGGUCUGGGUGCCAACUCACACUACCCUUAACUCUGCAACUGUAAAUAUUACAGUUUUCAUAAACUGCAAUAUUUACCUUGCAGGUUUAACUCCUCCUCUAGUGGCUGUCUUCCAGCCACUAGAGGGCACUUCCGGGUUUAUAGCACACAUUUUGUGUGCUAUAGCGUCGCUGGACAUCCUCACGCUAUGUGAGACCUCCAGCGUCGCUGAAAUCCCCAUAGGAAAGCAUUGAAAGCAUUUUUCAAUGCUUUCCUAUGGGGAGGUCUAAUGCGCGGCGUAAUGAUAUGUAUCAUAUACCACAUUAUCUGUUAGAUAAGGCUAACUGAUUUAAGUAACAAAAUGGCAGUACAGGGUCAGUCUACCGUGUGUGACAAUGGAAAUAUAGAAUGAAUUGUGCAGUUACAAAAAACUACACUCAAUCCAUUACCCAAUGUGUUUAGAAACAGUGCAAAAGCCAGAAACCCAAAUAUGUGUAGAGACACAAUUAGCAGAAAUAUAUAAACCUCUUCAAUUAGAGUAAAGGAAAAGUCACAGAGCCUGUACAAUUACUGAAAAUGGUAGAGAACGUGUCAGACCCCCACUCUCCCUCAUCCAUAUCUCAUGCUCCCUCGCCACAUCUUCUCCUAUCUUCCCGGUGGGUCUCUUUCUUUCCAUCACAGGUGGUGCCAUAUGUGACCCAUGAAUCGUAGGAGAGAGCCCCCUUCAUUUUGGCCUGGCUGAUGGACAGAGACUCGAGGAGGACCAGCCUCCUUAGGCGCACUCGUGCCAGAGCAAUGCCCUCUUAAAGGGAGAGGGGGUAGUCCAGAGCUGGGUGUGUGUGGGAGGUGGGAGUGACAUGGGAGAGCAUGCCCUACCAUAUAUAAUAGCAUUGCUCCUUUUCCUCAACUCUCAGUUAUAAUGUGCUCAUAGUGGUGUUAACUUCCUUUCCUGCUGUGCCUGGUAUUUGAUACCUGGUAUUUGACCCUUGCUUUUUUAGCUGUUUAAAAACCUGUGCCACCUAACCUUCAGCAUCCCUGACUAUGCUUUUGUCUGACCUUCAACUGUACCAAAUGACUGAUCCAUUCAUUGAGCUCGAAGAUAUGCUUAACUGACAAGAUGUGUCCAGUUUGACCGAAGAGGUGCAAGAGCUAAAGUCCCAGGCAAUUGCCACUAUACCUGGGAUACUACGACUACCUGUAUCAGCACACAUGAUACCCCUUCCUAAAGAUUGGUCCAUGGCACCAGAACCACAAAUCCCAAUGCCAGAAAGAUUCAUGAGAGACAGGUCCAAGUACUGUUCGUUCAGUAUGUCCUGUGAACUGAUUGUGGCGAAACCAACCUCGCCACUGUGAACUGGAGAAGCCUGGUUGCUCGCCUGCUCCCUUUGGACUAUGGCCCUGCAGGUUAAACCGUUUAUUUCCCCUGCAGAAAGGCUUAUUUGUGUGAUCUGAGUGCCAUUCAUCUAAUAAUGUGCACUCAGAUCCCAGCUAUCUGGGGAUAUGUGAAAAUCUGUGUGUUAUGUGUAAAUGUGACUUUAUGUAUUUUAAAGUGUUUUGUGUUUUUGCAACCAUGUGCUUAAUGGAGUCUUGUGUCUGUCGGAGAUAAUUGAAUUACUCUCCAGGAUAGAAGACUCUGAAACUGGUUUGGGCCAGAAAGCCAUGCUUCAUUUAGUCACAAAGGACUUUCCCUUAACUUUUGAACCCCUGGUCUGAUUCGUGCCAUUUUUUAAUAUGUUGUUGCCCUGAAUGGACUGAUUAUGAAAAUGUAUGUUUUAUGUUUGUGACAUGUAUAUUUUAGAAGUUAUAAAUAUUGUGUAAAAACUGUAUUCCUCUGCCGGUGAUAAUGAGAUUACCCAUUGUGUUCAGUAAUCAUAUCACCUGCAGAGGGGAGGAUUUUGUGUGGGAGUGUCUGGGUGUAUUGUACGGAUUGAUUGGUUGUUUUGUAACGCCCUGUGGGCUGUACUAUGUUUUGUGGAUUGUAAUAAAAACCAGGCUGGGUGUGCCAGCACUUGAGUUCCUGUUUUAACCCUCAAAGUGAAGUGUCGUCUCAUUAUUGGGGGAAGGAUUUAUUGUAUGCUGUUCCAGUUUGACUGCUAGGAGAGUAAACCUAUUCGUAUGGUUCCUAUUCAACUGUCUACAGCAUUCAUAUGCUUGAGAGGAUUCAUAUGCUUCUCCGGUUCGGUGGUUGUGGUGUCUGCUGCAGUGCUUGGAGUCCUCAGGAAGCGCUAGGAGCAUCCUUCAACGGAGGUACCCAGUCGGGGUGCCAGGCGAUCCGUUACAUUGGUGGCAAGCGACGGGAUCAUUUCCACAGCCCAGAAGGACAGCUAUAAUACAACACCAGUUCCUGGAUUACAAAUUGAGGGCAACGCCAGUACCCGUACAGCGACCCUAUCUACAAAAGAACCAACUUCAGCAGCGCAAGCAUGGCACCCAGCUACACUCAGGAGCAGUAUGACAGAGAGUUUACCAUGCGGCUGGCUUUCUUUGGACCCAACCCCCCGGAGAAAUACGUGCAGCUCGUAAGGAGCCAGGUAGACGAGUACCUGCAGUUCAUGGCAGAUCCAGCCAAAGGUAUCAGCCGCCCUAUCCGGUGGCAGAGUGCGUUACGGGGACUCAAAGGUGUACCCCAGGGAGCUGAAGGUGUCGUCCUUCCUCCCCAGCGGCAGUGUGUAUCCCAGGGAGCUGAAGGUGCAGUCCUUCCUCCCCAGCGGCAGUGUGUAUCCCAGGGAGCUGAAGGUGUCGUCCUUCCUCCCCAGCGGCAGUGUGUGUCCCAGGGAGCUGAAGGUGCAGUCCUUCCUCCCCAGCGGCAGUGUGUAUCCCAGGGAGCUGAAGGUGCAGUCCUUCCUCCCCAGCGGCAGUGUGUAUCCCAGGGAGCUGAAGGUGCAGUCCUUCCUCCCCAGCGGCAGUGUGUAUCCCAGGGAGCUGAAGGUGCAGUCCUUCCUCCCCAGCGGCAGUGUGUAUCCCAGGGAGCUGAAGGUGCAGUCCUUCCUCCCCAGCGGCAGUGUGUAUCCCAGGGAGCUGAAGGUGUCGCCCUUCCUCCCCAGCGGCAGUGUGUGUUCUUAGGAGAGGAGAUAGUUGGUCCCUCUCCCCAGCGGUCAAGUGAGUCCCAGGGAGUUGAAGGUGUCAUCCUUCCUCCCCAGCGGCAGAUUGUAUGCCAGGGAGCUGAAGGUGUCGUCCUUCCUCCCCAGCGGCAGAGUGUCCUGCAGGGAGCAGAGACCGUCAGUCUCGCACCCCAGCAGCAGGACAAAAUAUUGAAAGGGGAGACAGCUGGUCCCCCUCACCACCAGCAGAGAGAGUGUCACGGAGAGGAGCCUGCUACCCCCUCUCCCCAGCGGCAGGUUACAGUUCAGAGAGAGGAGCUUGUUACACCCUCUCUCCAGCGGCAGCCUAACCCACCAAGGGGAGAUGUUACACCCCCCAACAGUGCAGAUGGGACCGUAGUCUUUGCACUUGCAGCACAAGAGGUAGGGACGGUCGGUCCUGUCCCCCAGCCCCAGAGCUGUGUACCCAGAGGGGAGACGGUCGGUCUCCCCCUCCCACAACCAGGCUCCAACCAGGCUACUUCAGUGGUAGCGCUGGCACCAGGGCAGAGUACCGCUGGUCUCUGCCCACUCAGCAACCCACCAAGGCAGUCUACCAGCUCCCCGCACAGCCGUGGUGAGGAACCUGGACCUGGACAAGCUGCUACUUUAUCCAGGUGGGGUAAACAUUUAUUGUGGGUGGGAGGUACUGCUGUUUGUGCUUCGUGGGUGGGUUGCUGGACUAACCAGGGCACUGACCGGCAGGAGGUCAGAUACCCUGUUAGUCUGGAUGGUAAAGGGGAGAAUGUGCGAAAGCAACCUCGCCACUGUGAACUGGAAGCCUGGUUGCUCGCCUGCUCCCUUUGGACUAUGGCCCUGCAGGUUAAACCGUUUAUUUCCCCUGCAGAAAGGCUUAUUUGUGUGAUCUGAGUGCCAUUCAUCUAAUAAUGUGCACUCAGAUCCCAGCUAUCUGGGGAUAUGUGAAAUGUCUGUGUGUUAUGUGUAAAUGUGACUUUAUGUAUUUUAAAGUGUUUUGUGUCUUUUUGCAACCAUGUGCUUAAUGGAGUCUUGUGUCUGUCCUGGGAGAUAAUUGAAUUACUUAUCUCCAGGAUAGAAGACUCUGAAACUGGUUUGGGCCAGAAAGCCAUGCUUCAUUUAGUCACAAAGGACUUUCCCUUAACUUUUGAACCCCUGGUCUGAUUCGUGCCAUUUUUUAAUAUGUUGUUGCCCUGAAUGGACUGAUUAUGAAAAUGUAUGUUUUAUGUUUGUGACAUGUAUAUUUUAGAAGUUAUAAAUAUUGUGUAAAAACUGUAUUCCUCUGCCGGUGAUAAUGAGAUUACCCAUUGUGUUCAGUAAUCAUAUCACCUGCAGAGGGGAGGAUUUUGUGUGGGAGUGUCUGGGUGUAUUGUACGGAUUGAUUGGUUGUUUUGUAACACCCUGUGGGCUGUACUAUGUUUUGUGGAUUGUAAUAAAAACCAGGCUGGGUGUGCCAGCACUUGAGUUCCUGUUUUAACCCUCAAAGUGAAGUGUCGUCUCAUUAUUGGGGGAAGGAUUUAUUGUAUGCUGUUCCAGUUUGACUGCUAGGAGAGUAAACCUAUUCGUAUGGUUCCUAUUCAACUGUCUACAGCAUUCAUAUGCUUGAGAGGAUUCAAAUGCUUCUCCGGUUCGGUGGUUGUGGUGUCUGCUGCAGUGCUUGGAGUUCUCAGGAAGCGCUAGGAGCAUCUUUCAACGGAGGUACCCAGUCGGGGUGCCAGGCGAUCCGUUACACUGAUGUUUGACCUAAAUCCCCACAUAUAUCACUCAGAGGCCAUCAAAUUGCAUACUGUAUCCCUUCUCUGUGGUCCUUCAAAGGAAUGGGCACAUGACCUAUUAUAUGCCAAUGACCCCAGCAUCCAAACAUGGGAUUUCUUUGUAUCAAUCAUUUCCUAAAUGUAUGAUGACUAGAACUACAGGAAAUGGCUCAAACUUCCAUCAGAGCAUUACAUCAAGGCCACAGACCAUUAGAGAUAACAUAACUCACUUUAAAAGAUACACCACUGGUACCUAAUGGAACGUAAUUGGACCGAUACUGUGGAUGUCAUCACAACACCUUGAGAACAUGUUCAGAGAAGAACAGAACCACCACAGAACAGCCCUUUCACUCAUGACAUCCACACUUUUCACCACAACUCCUUCUUUAAAAUAAGUGUAUAUAUGGUGAAAAAAACAAUAUAAGACAAAGUGCUACAAUCACCAGCAAUGUGGGUCACUCCACCUCACAUAAAUAAAUGGUUAAAACAGUAAAAAAUGGUGAGAGCACAGAGAAACAAUAAUUACCCUUAUAUUCAAUAUAAAACCUGUAAAAACACAAUGGGAAAAACAGGCAUAGGGUAAUAACGUACAAAUAAUAUAUGAAUGAGUAAAUACUUGAAUAAACUCACAUAUUCAUGAGCCACUUAAUAUGGAAGCUGGCUCAGACUAGGAACAUUGAAUGGAUUAGUGAGGUGGUUGUUGUAAUCCAACUGCUUAAUUGCUUGCUCCUUCUUGCUUUACAAAAUCCAGGAUGCAGGAUCUUUAAUGAAAAACUUUUAUUCGGUAUAGCAGCAAAAAAAGACAGCAGCAGUAAAAAUUAAAAUUCAGCAAUUCCACCUCUGCACACUAACGCGUUUCAGCCAAAGCCUUUAUCAAAGUGUGAGUCCAUUCAGUCAGUUCCAUUUUUAAAUAGGCAAAUUUUCGCGCCUUUUUUCGGAAAUAAGCUCCUCCCCUUUUUUUUUUUUUUGUUGCAACUUUAUUGGGCAUCCUAGCAUCCUUAACGAUCUCAAUUUACUUCCAUGUUCAUUGAAGAAAAGGAACAGCGAACUAGUCCAUUCACUUAAACAGUCUUUCAUGUUGCAAUAAUCAGAGUCCUAUUGGCAACAUACUUCAUACAUAUUGUCAAUAACAUUAAAACAAAUAUUAUAGUCAGAUAUUCUUAUUGCAAUACGUAGAAUAUUAGCAACAGUUAAACUCUCUCUUUCUCAAAAAAAGGAUUAAAAAAGGUAAAAGAGAGGCAAAAGAAGAGGGAAUAAAUUUAAAAGGGAAAUAAAAGAUCAAAAUAGAAAAAUCUUCUUAUUCACAUUUAAAGGUAUAUCGGGAGAAUGCAUCAUACUUAAAAUACACUUAUUAUAAUCAAUAUUUAUAAAAUAUUAAUCAGUAUUACUAAAAUUAGAAUUAAAAAAUAUCUUAUUAAUAUAAAACAACCUAAAAUAAUCUCCAAUAGAUUUAAUAAAUAAUUAUAGUUAAAUAUAAGUAUUAAUUUCAAAAUCUACGUUUAAUCCCCCCGGUGUAAGUGUAUCCAAAUUAAAAAUCCAUUUCAUCUCAUUUUUGCUUAAAAGAUUAUCCUUAUCACCCCCUCUCCAGUGUAUUUUAAUAUGAUCUAUUGCAAAAAAAUCCAGGCCUGCUGGGUCUCCAUCAUGAUAUUCCAAAAAAUGUUUAGAUAAACAAUGGUUAGGGAAUCUUCUCCUGAUGUUGUAUAUAUGCUCCCUAAUUCGUAUUUUUAAUGAACGAGACGUUUUCCCUACAUAUUGUAACCCGCAGGGACAUGUUAUCAUAUAAACAACAUCAGCAGUAUUGCAUGUGAUAAAGUGUUUAAUUUCAUAUUCUGUUUUAGUAUUAAAAGAAAUGAAUUUAAAAAUUCUUCUAUUUUUCCCAGCUCUUACUUUACACCCUCUACAAUUUCCACAAUAGAAGAAUCCUUUCUGUUCCUUUAAAAAGUUAUUGGAACAUUCUUUCUUUUCUUUCUCUUGGAAGCUGCUAGUUAAAAUUUGCUUAAAAUUUCUAGCGCCUCUAAAAAUUAAUUUAGCUUUUUCUCCUAUUAGUGGGCGUAACUCAUCAUCUAACUUUAAAACAUGCCAAUUUUUAUCAAUAAUUUUACGUAAAGUGCGGUUGUUAGAAUUAAAAUUAAAAAUUAAUGGGAUAGUUUCUAGUCCUUCUUUUUUAGCUUGCUUAUCUUUAUAUUUCAAAAUUUCUAAACGGUCUUCCUCUUUUACCUGUUUAUAGGCUUUUUCUAGAAUAUUUUUAUCAUAUCCCUUUUCUAAAAAUUGUUUUUCUAAAAUUUUAACCUGAUCGUUAAAAUCCCGUUCAUCUGUACAAUUUCUCUUCAACCUUAAAAAUUGUCCUUUUGGUAUGUUUGAUAACCAUGGUUUAAAAUGGCAGCUGGAAAAAUCAAUAAAACUAUUAACAUCUACAGAUUUAAAAUAUGUCCGACUCUUAAUUACACCAUUAUCUAUAAAAAUAUCUAAAUCUAAAAAGUUAAUAUUUGAGGGGCUAAUGACAUGGGUCAGCUUAAUAUUCCACAUAUUAUUGUUAAGAGAAUCAAUAAAAUCUAGUAAAGAUUUGGAACUGCCUCUCCAUAUAAUAAAAAUAUCAUCUAUAUAUCUUUUAUAGAGGACCAGACUUGCCCCUAUGUCCAACCUAGAAAAAACAUAUUUUUCUUCCCAAAAUGACAUAAAAAGGUUGGCAUAACUCGGGGCAAAUCUGGUCCCCAUGGCAGUUCCCUUGGUUUGAAGGUAAAAGUCAUUUUCAAACCAAAAAAAAUUGUUUUUAAGAAUCAUAUUAAGAAUCAUAUUGAUCCCCUGCACAAUAAAAUCGAUUUGUGUUUCUAUAAAAUUACCAGAUUUAUUUAAAAAAUGUCUAGUAGCCUCACACCCUACCCCAUGUUCAAUAUUAGUGUAGAGGCUACUGACAUCACAAGUAGCCAUUAUAAAGGAAUCUUCCCAUUUAAAAUUAUUUAAAAUUUGUAAAAGGCUAAUAGUAUCUUUUAGAUAUGCCGGACAUUUGGGGACUAAGUCUUGUAAAAAAUGAUCUAUAUACUGGGAGAGCGGUGAUAAGAGAGAUCCACUUCCAGAUACAAUUGGUCUCCCUGGUGGAUUAACAGGAUCUUUAUGCAUCUUAGGUAAAACAUAGAUCACCGGAAUUCUAGGGAAUUUGACGUCUAAAAACUCGUAUUCCUUCUUAGUUAAAAUACCCUCAUUAAAACCUUUAUCUAAAAAAUGUUUAUAAGUGGUUUUAAUUUUUUCUAAAGGAUUAUUGCCGAGUUUAAUAUAGGUGUCCGAAUCUUCCAAUUGUUUAUGAAUUUCCUUUAGAUAAUCUUCUUUUUUCCAGAUCACUACCCCUCCCCCUUUAUCCGCAGGUUUUACCACUAUUGUUUUGUCCUUCUUGAUAUCUUGAAAGGCCAUGACUUCCUUUCUAGUUAAAUUAUCUGGCUUAUUUCCUCUCGUUUUAAUUUCUCUUAAAUCUUUGAGGCAUAAUUUUUCGAAAAUUUUCAUAUGGUCAGUUUUAAGAUGGCUAGGAUAAAACUUAGAUUUUUUCUUAAAAUCUGUGUGUUUAAAAAGAUUGUCAUCUAGUUUAUCAUUUUUUUCUUUAUUCCCCUCAAAUUUAUUAAAAAACUUCUUCAAACAUAAUUUUCUAAAAAAACGAUGAAUAUCUAAAAACGUUUCAAAUUUAUCUAUUUCACACGCAGGGGCAUAUUUAAAGCCCUUGCCUAAAACUUGUUCAUGAAUCGGUGUCAAACAUUUAUCAGAUAAAUUAAAAAUCCUUAUUUUCUGUUCAUUCUUUAUGAGUGCUAUGUCCUCAAUAUCCUUUCCUCUUUUCUCCUUUUGUUUAUUUUUUUGAAUUCUGGUACCUCCUCUUCUAUUUCUCUUAUCCUUUUUACUGGGGUCUGUAUUUUCUUCCUUCUGUCUGAAAGUCUUGACAUUGUUACCCCUAAAAAAGAUUCUUCCUCUUCUAUAUUUUUUAAUCUCUCGAAACGAUUUGAUAACGGAAUAGUUGGUAUUUCUUUUCUUAUUAUUUUAUUAUUUUCUCUAUUUUGAAAAUUUUGUUUCCUAGUUUUUACUUCCGUCCAAUCGUUAGUUAGUUUUUUUCCUUUUUUUGAUAUUAUAGGACUUUCCCUAUUUUGGGAUGGAUUAUGUUGUGGUAAAACAUUUUUAUCAUAUUUCAUAAACACCGAUUCAUGACACCGAUUCAUGAACAAGUUUUAGGCAAGGGCUUUAAAUAUGCCCCUGCGUGUGAAAUAGAUAAAUUUGAAACGUUUUUAGAUAUUCAUCGUUUUUUUAGAAAAUUAUGUUUGAAGAAGUUUUUUAAUAAAUUUGAGGGGAAUAAAGAAAAAAAUGAUAAACUAGAUGACAAUCUUUUUAAACACACAGAUUUUAAGAAAAAAUCUAAGUUUUAUCCUAGCCAUCUUAAAACUGACCAUAUGAAAAUUUUCGAAAAAUUAUGCCUCAAAGAUUUAAGAGAAAUUAAAACGAGAGGAAAUAAGCCAGAUAAUUUAACUAGAAAGGAAGUCAUGGCCCUUCAAGAUAUCAAGAAGGACAAAACAAUAGUGGUAAAACCUGCGGAUAAAGGGGGAGGGGUAGUGAUCUGGAAAAAAAAAGAUUAUCUAAAGGAAAUUCAUAAACAAUUGGAAGAUUCGGACACCUAUAUUAAACUCGGCAAUAAUCCUUUAGAAAAAAUUAAAACCACUUAUAAACAUUUUUUAGAUAAAGGUUUUAAUGAGGGUAUUUUAACUAAGAAGGAAUACGAGUUUUUAGACGUCAAAUUCCCUAGAAUUCCGGUGAUCUAUGUUUUACCUAAGAUGCAUAAAGAUCCUGUUAAUCCACCAGGGAGACCAAUUGUAUCUGGAAUUGGAUCUCUCUUAUCACCGCUCUCCCAGUAUAUAGAUCAUUUUUUACAAGACUUAGUCCCCAAAUGUCCGGCAUAUCUAAAAGAUACUAUUAGCCUUUUACAAAUUUUAAAUAAUUUUAAAUGGGAAGAUUCCUUUAUAAUGGCUACUUGUGAUGUCAGUAGCCUCUACACUAAUAUUGAACAUGGGGUAGGGUGUGAGGCUACUAGACAUUUUUUAAAUAAAUCUGGUAAUUUUAUAGAAACACAAAUCGAUUUUAUUGUGCAGGGGAUCAAUAUGAUUCUUAAUAUGAUUCUUAAAAACAAUUUUUUUUGGUUUGAAAAUGACUUUUACCUUCAAACCAAGGGAACUGCCAUGGGGACCAGAUUUGCCCCGAGUUAUGCCAACCUUUUUAUGUCAUUUUGGGAAGAAAAAUAUGUUUUUUCUAGGUUGGACAUAGGGGCAAGUCUGGUCCUCUAUAAAAGAUAUAUAGAUGAUAUUUUUAUUAUAUGGAGAGGCAGUUCCAAAUCUUUACUAGAUUUUAUUGAUUCUCUUAACAAUAAUAUGUGGAAUAUUAAGCUGACCCAUGUCAUUAGCCCCUCAAAUAUUAACUUUUUAGAUUUAGAUAUUUUUAUAGAUAAUGGUGUAAUUAAGAGUCGGACAUAUUUUAAAUCUGUAGAUGUUAAUAGUUUUAUUGAUUUUUCCAGCUGCCAUUUUAAGCCAUGGUUAUCAAACAUACCAAAAGGACAAUUUUUAAGGUUGAAGAGAAAUUGUACAGAUGAACGGGAUUUUAACGAUCAGGUUAAAAUUUUAGAAAAACAAUUUUUAGAAAAGGGAUAUGAUAAAAAUAUUCUAGAAAAAGCCUAUAAACAGGUAAAAGAGGAAGACCGUUUAGAAAUUUUGAAAUAUAAAGAUAAGCAAGCUAAAAAAGAAGGACUAGAAACUAUCCCAUUAAUUUUUAAUUUUAAUUCUAACAACCGCACUUUACGUAAAAUUAUUGAUAAAAAUUGGCAUGUUUUAAAGUUAGAUGAUGAGUUACGCCCACUAAUAGGAGAAAAAGCUAAAUUAAUUUUUAGAGGCGCUAGAAAUUUUAAGCAAAUUUUAACUAGCAGCUUCCAAGAGAAAGAAAAGAAAGAAUGUUCCAAUAACUUUUUAAAGGAACAGAAAGGAUUCUUCUAUUGUGGAAAUUGUAGAGGGUGUAAAGUAAGAGCUGGGAAAAAUAGAAGAAUUUUUAAAUUCAUUUCUUUUAAUACUAAAACAGAAUAUGAAAUUAAACACUUUAUCACAUGCAAUACUGCUGAUGUUGUUUAUAUGAUAACAUGUCCCUGCGGGUUACAAUAUGUAGGGAAAACGUCUCGUUCAUUAAAAAUACGAAUUAGGGAGCAUAUAUACAACAUCAGGAGAAGAUUCCCUAACCAUUGUUUAUCUAAACAUUUUUUGGAAUAUCAUGAUGGAGACCCAGCAGGCCUGGAUUUUUUUGCAAUAGAUCAUAUUAAAAUACACUGGAGAGGGGGUGAUAAGGAUAAUCUUUUAAGCAAAAAUGAGAUGAAAUGGAUUUUUAAUUUGGAUACACUUACACCGGGGGGAUUAAACGUAGAUUUUGAAAUUAAUACUUAUAUUUAACUAUAAUUAUUUAUUAAAUCUAUUGGAGAUUAUUUUAGGUUGUUUUAUAUUAAUAAGAUAUUUUUUAAUUCUAAUUUUAGUAAUACUGAUUAAUAUUUUAUAAAUAUUGAUUAUAAUAAGUGUAUUUUAAGUAUGAUGCAUUCUCCCGAUAUACCUUUAAAUGUGAAUAAGAAGAUUUUUCUAUUUUGAUCUUUUAUUUCCCUUUUAAAUUUAUUCCCUCUUCUUUUGCCUCUCUUUUACCUUUUUUUAAUCCUUUUUUUGAGAAAGAGAGAGUUUAACUGUUGCUAAUAUUCUACGUAUUGCAAUAAGAAUAUCUGACUAUAAUAUUUGUUUUAAUGUUAUUGACAAUAUGUAUGAAGUAUGUUGCCAAUAGGACUCUGAUUAUUGCAACAUGAAAGACUGUUUAAGUGAAUGGACUAGUUCGCUGUUCCUUUUCUUCAAUGAACAUGGAAGUAAAUUGAGAUCGUUAAGGAUGCUAGGAUGCCCAAUAAAGUUGCAACACAAAAAAAAAAAAAAGGGGAGGAGCUUAUUUCCGAAAAAAGGCGCGAAAAUUUGCCUAUUUAAAAAUGGAACUGACUGAAUGGACUCACACUUUGAUAAAGGCUUUGGCUGAAACGCGUUAGUGUGCAGAGGUGGAAUUGCUGAAUUUUAAUUUUUACUGCUGCUGUCUUUUUUUGCUGCUAUACCGAAUAAAGGUUUUCAUUAAAGAUCCUGCAUCCUGGAUUUUGUAAAGCAAGAAGGAGCAAGCAAUUAAGCAGUUGGAUUACAACAACCACCUCACUAAUCCAUUCAAUGUUCCUAGUCUGAGCCAGCUUCCAUAUUAAGUGGCUCAUGAAUAUGUGAGUUUAUUCAAGUAUUUACUCAUUCAUAUAUUAUUUGUACGUUAUUACCCUAUGCCUGUUUUUCCCAUUGUGUUUUUACAGGUUUUAUAUUGAAUAUAAGGGUAAUUAUUGUUUCUCUGUGCUCUCACCAUUUUUUACUGUUUUAACAACUCCUUCUUUAUCUUUUUUCUCUGUCAUUAUAGUGGUGUCACGUUACCUGUCCCUUUCAGCUCUGUGCGAUCACAGAAAUGAGGCACAUACAUUUAUCCCUAACUUCCUGGUGCCUUGUUAUGACACCAUAUAUAAUGCGGACCCCUCCUGUUAGUCUCCUUUUAUAGUGUCGCUUUUUGAUGAUGUAUACAGGCUUGUGACAUCACAGUCCUCUGUGACCAAUCACUACCCAGUAUAGGGUAUAUAUACUUUCUGGUUGUCCUUGUUUCCAUGCCGUGUCUGGGCUUUUGUUACGUGAGAGUGUGUUUAUACAGUGUAUUGGAUUUCCUGUUUUUGAUAUUGUUUGACUAUUCUUGCUCUCUGUUAUCCUGAUCUUGGCCUGGCUAUCAAUUGCAUGUAUUUCUGUAAUCCUGACCUCUGCUUGUCUCUCGUUUAUUCUCUGCAUGCUUGCAGACACUUCAUAUAUCUGUGUCAGGCACUAACCCGGCCACUCUAAGUACUGGUACGUGUACUCUUACUGUUACCUUUAGGUUUGCGUGUUAGGGUAACUCAAUUCCUGGCAAGUGGAACAUGAACAUCCAUAACUGUUUAGCGUUCGUAGAUUCUGGAGCAAGUGGUGACUUUCUGGAUUGCUCCUUAACAGAAAAAUUAGCAAUACUUGUUAAUAAUCAAAUUAUUCCACUUAAUGUUGUGCAUGGGUCUUUCUUGAAAUCUGGCCCACUACUGAAACAAACCAUUCCCAUCCGAGCAGGGCCGGACUGAGGAUACAAAGCAGCCCUGAAAAAAAAUCUGUGCCAGCCCCAUAAGAGUCAUUGCGCCAUAUAUUGUCACAUGUAAUAUGUAAGGCUAUGUCUUGCCACACCAGAUGAUUGAGUAAUAUAUAAACAUAUAUAUAACAUAAAGAUAUAUUUAUUUUUCUAAUAUAAAAUACUGGUCCUUUCAGAGUAAAAUGUUUAAUUAAACUGUAAGCAUACUCACAUUCAGACACAGACAAUCUCACUGACACACACAAGUUCAUUGAUACACCAUUUCAUAGACAAACAAUCUCACUGAUAUAAAUAAGCUCAUUGACAUAAAAACACAAGCUCACAGGUGCACACACAUAGGCUCAGUGACAGACAAUCUCACUGACACACACAGACAAGCUUAUUGGUAUACACAGAAACAUAGUACAGACAAACUCUGACACGCACAAGCCUUCUACAGACAAGCUCACUGUCACACACACAUGCUCACUACAGAAAAGCUCACCGAUACACACAUGCUUCCUACAGAAAAGCUCACCGACACACUCAAGAUCACUACAGACAAGCUCACUGUCCCACAAAUGCUCACUACAGACCAGUUCACUGACACACACAUGCUCCAUACAGAAAAGCUCACUGACACACGCAUGCUCCCUACAUAAAUGUUUUUAAUAAACAUGGUCUAGAUAUUCUGUGGCUAACCUUUACUUUUUCCUGCGAAUGAGUCAUAGGCUCAAUGCCACACCUACAAUGGAACAGAUUUGAUGAUAUUCUUCUAAAAUCUCGCUUUAGAGGGAUCUGGUUAUAUGUGCAGUGGAGAACCUCAGGCUUUAUCAAACUGUUCCAAAACAAUCUGACAGAAUUCUUGAGCGGUAUGCACCGAUUAGUAGAGCUAUAACCAAUGACACACAUACACACACAAGCUCACUCACUAGUAGGCACACAUAUGCACAAGCUCACUCACUAGCAAGCACACACAUACACAAGCAGGCACACACACAAGCUCACUCACUAGCAGACACACACACACACACAAGCUCACUCACUAGCAGGCAAACAAACACACAAGCUCACUCACUAGCAGGCACACACACACACGCAAGCUCAAUCACUAAAAGGCACACACACACACACACACAGCUUAAUGUAGUGGUUCUGGUGUCUAUAGCCUGUCCCUGCAGGCUUUUCAAUGUAAACACUGACUUUUCAGAGAAAAUGCAGUGUUUACAUUGCUUCCUAGUGACACCUCUAGUGACAGUCACUCAAACGGUCACUAGAGGUGCUUCCUGUGUCAGUGCUGUAUAGUGUGCAGCACCUACAUUCAGCGCCGCUCUGCAUGGAGGUGCUGAACAUUCCCCAUAGAGACACAUUGAUUCAAUGCAUCUCUAUGAGGAGAUGCUGAUGAUCUCAGCCAUAGAGGCAGGGCCAGUCGAGGGGAGACCAGCACGGUGUGGGGAAAAAAAAGGCGAGUAACACUAUUCCCUUGCCAAUGGAAAGGAUCUGGUAACCUAAACACACACAUACACCAUGACAGACACACACACCAUGACACACACAUAAACCAUGACAGAUAAACGCGCACACACACCAUGACAGACACACACACACCAUGACACACAUACACACACAUACACACACCAUGACUGACCCACACACCAUGACACAGACAGACACACACACACACACACACACACACCAUGACAGACAGACACACACAUAAACACACCAUGAAAGACACACACAAAUAGACACACCAGGACAGACACACACCAUGACAGACCUAUACACUCACACUGACAGACUGACUCAUACAUUAUUGCUACCUGUGGGGUCCAGUGGGCGACCGGCGAGAGGAUUGUGCAGGCACGAGGCAGGCUGGGUGGUCAUGCAGGGCUAUGUAUCAAUGACCCUAUUAUCAGCUGGACCACAGGAAGUGUGUCUUAUUCAUCGUCCCUUUGUUCUACACAGUGCUUUCGAGAAACCUGCCAAAAGGAUUUUAUACAGUUUGUUCAAGAUGCCAAGAUAAAAAGAUAAGUUGCAUUGCCACAUGCACACCAUAUGUUUAAUGAUGUUUUGAUGGAGUAAAAGGAGUAUAAACUUUUCCAUCCAUAAGGGAAUAUUAUUGUCCAAUUGAGCUCAAACCAGGUGCUCUUUUCGGCAAAAUUAUUCCCUGGUGGAGAAUGAACUACAGAUAUUGAAGGAAUAUAUCCAUGAAAAUCUGGCAAAAGGACUCAUCAGAACUUCCAACUCUCCCACAGGAGCUUUGUGGAAAAAAAGAUUGUAGCUUACCCCCCUGGAUUACAGGAAAUUAAAUCACCAUUAAAAACAAGUAUCCACUCUGUCUGAUUGCUGCAUUGAUUGGACAUCUUCAGUAUGCUUCUGUUUAUUCCAAGCUGGAUUUAGGAGGUGCUUAUCCUCCUCCAUGUCAGACAAAGAGAUGAGUUUAAGUAUGCAUUCCAAUCUUGUUACGGACACUGCAAGUAUUCAGUAAUAAUGAUAAAAGGGAAAUAAGGGCUGCACCAAAGUAAAGUAUCAAUAGAUAAUAAAAUAUGAAACAGUCCAAAUAUAAGUGCAAACCUCUUAAGUGGUUAAGUGGCAAUCAUUUUAGCCUGAGUGAUCAGGUCUGUUGCUUUUUGUUUGUUUUGUUUUUCUUUUUUUUUUCUUUUUUAAAUCAAGAAUAAGCAUUUCACUCAUAAACAGCAUUUGCUAUAAGACGAAUCAACGGACUAACUUUUAUUUGAAUAAUUAACUUACAAAUCAGUUACAACUCUCUAUAAGAGUCGGUUCCACUCACAGUCAUCAUAAGGCAACGGGCGUAGACAAAGACUUUAAAACUUAAAGAUUUAAAGACUAAAACGAUUUGGAGAGUUAGAGGUCUCAUAGUUUGAGACAUAGAGGAGGGAAAAAAAAAGGGGGGGGAAAGGAAAGAGAGAAAGGGUUAGCAUACAGUCUAUUGUAUACUAAACAGUGCUAUAUUUCACGGUUUAUUACCACUCUCCACAUUUCAUUACCACCCUCCAUUAUCACAUAUCAGGGAAAGGAACGGGCGAUGCCUCCUUCUAAGCAAACCAAACUAACAGACUCAGCACAGUAUGCUAAAAAAGAUAAGCAAAGACAAACACAGGAGGAAGAUGAAAAGACAGUAUUACGAGAUAUUGGGCAGGAAUCAGAUUCUAUGCAAGAUUGUUCAGAAGAUGCCCAAAUAUCUAAGGUUUUAUUUAAACAGGUACUCCAAGAGUUAAGGAUAACUAUAAAAGAGGAUUUUGCCAAUAUAAUAACAAGUAUACACCAAGAACUAUCGGAACUGAGUGACCGCACCGAUUAUUUAGAGAAAAAACCUGAUGAUUUGUGUAAAGCACACAGCGUACUAGACAAGAAAGUUAGUAGCUUGGAGGAAGAAAAUAAGAAAUUAUGGCAUAAAGUGGUGGACCUGGAGGAUAGGUCACGCAGGAAUAAUGCAAGAUUUAGAGGCGUGCCUGAAGCUAUUCCUGCCGAGAAUUUGGAGGAGUAUAUUACAACAUUAUGUUCUAGUUUGGUUCCGUCUAUGGAUAAAAUUAUACGGGAAAUACAGAGAAUACACAGAUUAGCGAGACCUGUAAGGUUUGCAGUGGAUACUCCACGUAACAUCAUUGUUUGCAUUAACCGCUACACUGCCAAAGAAGCUUUAUUUGCAGCAAUUCGUAAAACUCCAGUUCUACCUUCUCCGUAUGAAGCAUUAACAGUAUAUAACGAUUUAUCCCCUCUGACUAUGGCAAGACGGCGGGAAUUUGCUGCAAUUACUAAAGUAUUACGAGACAACAAAAUAUCCUACCGUUGGGGCUUCCCAACCAAAAUUUUAGUCUGGGAAAAUGGAAAAACGACAGUAAUUGACGACCAAAUCAGCGGCUUGGCUAUCUUAAAAUAAUGGGGGAUUGAGCAUACUGAAGAAGUAACAACUUUUAGUCAUACCCCAAAUUCUAAAAAUAUACCACCAGACUGGAAGACAGCAGGAAAAGCCUCAACAAAAUCUAAAGACAGGACCAAAUUUUUAAUAUGACAUGCACUUUAAAAUAAUCUUAUGCCUUGAAAUAGGUGACUAAUGGUGCUGGCUUAAAAAAUUGGUUUACAGCUGCAUAUGGGCAGGACUUAUAGAAUUGGGGUAAUUUGAUCAGUCCUAUUCAGAUUAUUAAUAGAAGCCUACUGAGCAAAUAAGAUCUAUAAGAGAAAAAAAAAAAAGGAAAAUACCAUGGCAAGGUUAUAGUUAAAACUGCAUAAUAGGAAUAUUGUACUAAGUUAACUACGGAACUGAUACCUUUCAAGACCCUUAUUAGUUAUUAGACAUUUAUGAACUGUAAAGACACAAAUGUAAUGUUCCUGGUAUAUUAUUGAUACUCUCUACAAUUUUUUGUUGUUAUAUAUAAUUAUUGCAAAUUCUGGCUUCUAAUGUUAUAAAGAAAAUAGGAUUAUGGUUUAAAGAUUGAAAUAAAACUCCCGGGGCUUGGCAGAAAGGGAUAUAUUCCCUCCCCAUGCCCAGUGGGGUUAUUGUUUAGUUACACAUGUAGAUAUGUAAAUAUUAGAGUUAUAGAGGCCUGAAGGGCCAUAGACAAAGCUAGGAAUGCUCCUAAGGUAUAGAUAUUACGUUAGUAUAUACAUUUGCAAAGCCUUAAAAUCUGCGCUUUUACCUUAUACCUUAAACAGCAUAGCACUUCGUGUCGCCAUCACCACCACCAUGAUUUAAAUCCUCGAUGAGGAUGCUCACCCUCACGACCUCCAUAGCAUUAGCAUUUUGGCCCCCAUGUAGGGAGCAAUAUAGGGCUUGUUGCCCUCGAGUUCCCCCCUCCCCUCCUUGGUUAUUCCCUUGUGUGGUUACUUUUACCCUUUUGUUCCAGGACAUCCAAUUUGCCUAUCUUUCUACGCAAUACUAAGAAGAUACUUUUAUAAGCGGCCUUAUUGUAAAUCUAUACAACUAUGACAUUUGUUUCAUCUAAUGUAAAAGGUUUGAAUUCCCCAGGUAAACGUAGGUUGCUUCUUAGAGAUCUUAUUAAACAGGGAAUAGAUGUAGCCUGCAUACAGGAGACUCAUUUCAAGAACAAUCAUACUCCAGCUAUUUUUACCAAACAAUUCCCCAUACAGGUGCACUCCCUGUCUAGCUCCAAAUCUAAAGGUGUAUCGAUUUUAAUUCACAAAGAUAUAGUUUACACUCCCCAACGACAGUAUGUGGACCCAGGAGGGAGAUGUGUUAUACUGGUGGGCCAAUUCAAGUGUGCUACUAACGUUGGUAGCGUUAGUGUGCAACUAACGUUGGUAGUGGCUUAUUUCCCCAAUGACUAUCCACAGAAUUUCUUGAUCUCCCUCUUGACCAAAGUUGAAAAAUAUAGACAGGGAGACUUGAUACUCUGUGGGGACUUUAACUGCAUUCAGUCACCAGGGCUAGACACGACCGCAACCCCUAACGAUAAAAACAAACGGAGAAUAGGGCUUACUAAAUUACUAGAUCAAUAUGACUUAUACGAUGCAUGGAGGAUCUUACACCCGAUGGACAUGGAUUAUACCUUUCAUUCACGAGUACAUAACACAUAUACACGCAUAGACACCUUUUUUUCAGCACAGAACACUUCUACCACAAUUAACACGAUGUAAUAUAGGGGAGAUAACUUGGUCGGAUCAUAGCCCUGUGUAUUUAAAUCUAUUGGAGGCGUUUCAAUCUCGAGGCCGGGGGUCCUGGCGAUUGAAUGACUCCCUUCUGUCAGAUGCAGUUUUUGCAGAGGACAUUAGGUUAGGAAUACAAGAAUAUUUUAAAUUAAAUACGACCGAGGAAGUCUCGGACUUCACAAUAUGGUCGGCGCACAAAGCGGAGAGUAAGAGGACGUUUUUUGAAACGUUCUUCUUUCCUAAAGAAACAAAAUAUGUCAGGUCUACUUGAAUGCCAUAGACAAAUAGCUAAAAUUUUUAAACAAAAUAAAACUCGACCUUCCCCUCAAUUAGCGGAACAGCUUACUGUGCUUUACACAUGACUUAAGGAGCUCAAUGGGGAAGAAACUAAGCGCAUGCUCUACAAACUCAGAGCUAAUGUAUAUCAUAGUGGCGGGAAAGCCAACAAAUAUUUAGCUUCUAGACUUCGUAAUAAAUACUCUAGCUCUAAGAUACCCUAUGUAAUGGGAAACGAUGGUCUAAAGAAAAUCACUCCCAUAGACAUUAGUCAAGAAUUCGCAAACUUCUACGCUAAAUUAUACAAUUUGAAAGAAGGUAGGAGUACCCAUAAUGUUAGCAUAGAAGAUAUAACUCAAUUUUUAAGUCAAGCUGAAUUACCCCAGAUUACUAAUAUGAAACUAGACACACUACUGAAGCCCACUGAGCUCACGGAGGUGUUAGAUAUAAUUUCUAAACUACCACAAGGGAAGUCACUGGGAGCAGAUGGGUUGACGAAUGCCUAUUAUAAAAAAUAUGCCCAGGAUUUAGGCCCGCAUCUCUUAAAAGUUUUCCAUAGGGCUACGGCCACAGAUACACUUCCGACGGAGAUGAUCCGUGCUACCAUAAUAACUAUUCCAAAGCCUGAUAAGUCCUUUAAUGCAUGUAAAAAUUAUCGCCCAAUAUCGCUUUUAAAUGCCGAUGUGAAGAUCUAUGCGAAGAUCUUGGCAAAUAGGCUUAACGGAGUGUUACCAUCCCUCAUUGGAGAUGACCAGACAGGGUUUAUACAAGGGAGACAGGGGAUGGAUAAUACUAGAAAAUUUGCAUUGAUAUUGGAGCACUUAAGAGGGGCCAGAGAAGGCGGACUUUUAAUAGCAUUAGAUGCUGAAAAAGCUUUUGACCGACUCAGCUGGCCCUUCCUGCAACAGACGUUGUGUGCAUAUGGGCUCCCACAACAACUAUUGACACAGAUUUUUGCUUUAUACUCAGGCCCUUCGGCCCAAGUGUUACAGAAGGGCUUCAUGUCCGAUCCAUUUAAGUUAACUAAUGCAACGAGGCAGGGGUGCCCGUUGUCCGCAUUACUGUAUGUGCUGGCACUAGACCCCCUUUUGCGAAUCAUCCAAAAUCAACCUCAUAUAAAAGGUAUUCAAGUUAAAGGAAUAGAAUGCAAAAUUAGUGCCUUCGCGGAUGAUAUUCUACUAUAUAUCACCGACCCCAUUAAUAUCCUUUCUACACUUAUGCAAAUAAUAAAGGAAUAUGGCCUCUGUUCUUAUUACUUAUUAAACACUAUUAAAAUGCAGGCCUUAGGAAUAGAUUUACCCUCUCAAGCUAUAGAAAUAUUACAUAAGACAUAUCCCUUUGAAUGGAGACGUGAUAACAUCAAAUACCUAGGGAUAUUGUUUUCUAGAAGACUUACUGAUCUGAGUGCAGGUAACUAUAUUAGGGUAUGGAAGGAGUGUAAGCAAACUCUGAUAAAAUGGAGAUCCCUUUUUCUUAUCUGGACCGAAAGAAUAGCAGCUAGUAAGAUGUCUAUACUUCCUAGAUCACAAUAUGUUUUUCGGAAUCUUCCAUUAUUUAUGCCACAGUCUUAUUUUAAAAAGAUUCAGAGGGAUAUGACCAAUUUUAUCUGGGACAAGGGGAGACCCCGAGUAUCCAUGAAACUGUUGAGAGCACCGGUUAGAGCAGGAGGCCUGGCAGUUCCUGAUGUUCGCAUUUAUUACCAAUCCCCCCUCAGUGGAUUCGAAUUGAACAACAUAUGAUGUCACCAUAUGACAUCACUCAUAUAUUAUGGCUUCCUAAACAGUUGACCCCCCUUAAAAGCAGUUCCUGCCCAAAUUGCUUUGUUAAUGCAAAUCUGGGAUAAAUAUAGAUACAAGCUGAGUAGCAAAUAUCCAAUUUCCCUCGCUACUCCUACGGAGGCUCUCACAUAUUGCAUUCCCACCUUUUAUACUAAACCAUGGCGGGAGAGGGGUCUUACACAUGUAAUUCAUUUUUAUGUUAAUUUAAGGCUACUGGAUUUCCGAACCCUCCAAUUACUUUAUGGGGUCCCAUUGACCUCUCAUUUCUCCUACAGACAUCUACAUUCUUUUUUAUACAAACAAGACACACAGAUUUCAUCUGGUUGUAUAACCAGUGAACAACUUACGAUAUUGGAAAAAUUGUGCAUAAAUAAAAAGCUACCUGCUUUAUGUAAACCAAUCUCCAAAUGUUACCAAUUGUUAUUAGAUUACACACCGUUUUCGGAGGCUAUACCAGGAAAGCAAUGGGCAAAGGACUUGACCAUAGAGCUCACCCAGGAACAGUGGACUAAUAUAUCUAUAAAUACUAAGAAACGUAUUAAAUCAGUUCCACUUAUUGAGCAAAACAAGAAAAUGAUUUAUAGAUGGUACAUGGUGCCAGAGCUGUUACAUAAAAUGUUUCCCUCCACUUCACCCACUUGUUGGAGAUGUCAAAAGAAUAUUGGAUCAGUUAUACAUAUAUGGUGGAACUGCCCAUUAAUCCAACCCUUUUGGGAAGCUGUACAUACAUUGUUACAAGAUAUCACAAAAGUUAAACUAUUGUAUGUUCCCCUUACGUACUUGUUAUUGCAUAUCCCCCCACAUACACCCAAAUAUCUCCAAAAAUUAAUCUUCCAUAUUGCACUGACGGCUCAACACCUUAUUGCAUGAGCCUGGAAGACUUUAAACAUUCCCACGAUUCAGAAAAUACAUUCUGAGAUGGAGGAGCAGAGGCUUUAUGAGCGCUGCUUUAUAAGUAUAUAUCCAUCUAACCAAUGUGGGAUAGCGGCAUGGGACACUUGGGACAAGUGGAGAUGGGUACACCCCACAUAGGGGGAAGCAUUAAUGUUCCAUAAAGAUGUUAUCGCACUGUUUUAAUACAUUUUGAUUUCAAGUACGUUAGCACUAAAUUAAAUUUUAUGCUCCAGUUAUAUAGAAAUUUGUGAUCUAAAUGUGAUUAUACUGAUGAAGGCCAUAUUGAGUACCAAAGUAUUGUGUAUUAUUAUGGAUUACCAUGGAUAAUUAUGGUUCAUUGUGUAGUAAGUGAUAUAAGAUGCUUGGAUGUCCUCCCUUCCCCUCCCCCCCCUUUCCCGCCUUUUGUCUUCUGUACCCUUUCCCUCCCCUUCCCAGGUCUUUUAUAAAUCAAAUAAAAAUUGUCAGAUUGCAAAAUAUAAGUGCAACGAGUCUAGAUGUAAUGAUCUAAGUUAGAUUAGAUAAAGAAUAAAGUGCUUGAUCGGGAGUAAUAUCCUCACUGUCUUUUUCCAGGCAGAUCCACUCAUAUAAAAAGACAAAGCAUAGAAAUAACUAAAUAGUGUAAUAUGUACAGUCCAAUGUAUUCAAUAUGUUGGAGAGAUGGUAAUAAACUCACAUUUGUUAAAGCUAUAGCUAGCUCUAGUGUGAAGGGCGCACAGCGGUACAAUCUCCACUUAUGGGAUAUACAGUGAGCUUCUUCCGUCACGGGGUAUGUUCAACACUCAGGAGAAGGGUAAAAGGAGACAACUAAUAGUGUUCACUGGAUAAAAUAGUAGUAACAAGAUAGGUUAAAUGGUACUCACAAGCGAAGAGCAGGCUAACUAGCCGAUAUAUAAAAUUUGGGUGGAGAUAGACACUUAAGAGAUUUAUGGGAAAAAAUGGGGGUUAACCCCUAAUACGUAAAUUCAAAUGAAAAAAAAAUAAAACAAAAUUAAAUCUCCAAAGGAGUAUCUAUCUAUGUGAGAACAGUCAGUGUACUUAAAACGUAGCUUUUAUUCUAGUAAAUAAAAAGGUGCAAUAAAUAUAACAAAAGAAAGAAAAAAUUAUAAAUAAAAUAUGAAACAGAUAGGUCUCCACUGUGUAUUGGACAAGCAAAUACCGAAUAUUCAAAUAGUACUUGAAGUAGUAAGUAGUACUAUAGAUAAAAAAAAAAUUAUAUUUAGAUAUAGAGUGUGAUCGGUAUCUGGGUUCAGACUAACAUCUAUAUCGUUCCAGAAUAACCACUCAAUUGUAACGGCUAAAUGGUGGAGAGGAGAGGGAAUAAGAGGGAUUACUAGUAGUAGCCUUAAUAUAGAUAGAGAAAAAGGCUAAUGUGCCUUCGAGGGCACACCUUACCCAAAUACUACUCUAACACUAAGUUGCCCACCAUGCCCAAUCCUCCAAAUGAUUCAAGGCUAGAGAAUAGAGAAACUGGAACAAUAAUAAAUGAAAAUAGAGUAGUUAGCAACGGAAGUAGCGACAUAUCGCCGCAACUAUAUAUGUGGUGACUUCACUGUUAACUAUAGUAUAGCAGUAUUUAACCCCACCAUGCCCAAACCUCAAAUACAAGAGACUAAAGUACAUUGAACUAUCUGUGGCUGCUGCUUGGGAAAUGUAGUUUUAACAUCGGUGCGCACAAAGCUGCAGCUGACAUUAGGAUAUGUAUACAGUAAUGCCCUAUGUUCUUUGCAAUGCCCCUUCUUCAUUCCAGCACUUUCUCAAUUAUUUUUCAUAACCUCCUUGACCAAUACAUAGUGCCCUACCUGGAUGAUCUCCAGGUCUUUUCUCCACACCUGUGUGCUCAUCAUCUCCAAAUGCCUGAGGUAUUGAAACGUGUACACCAGUUUUAUGCAGUGAUCGAAAAGUUUAUCUUUGAAAUAGACUGUGUAAAGUUUCUUGGAUUCAUCAUCUGACCAGGAAAGGUGGAAGCAAUGCUCCAGUGGCAGAAACCAUAAAGUGGACGUUGCCAAAUUCUACAGAAGAUCCAUUCAAAACGUCUCCAAAUCAAUAGAACUAGAACCACUCACACAACUUCUCAAUAAGGAGGUGAAUCUUCCUCUCUAUCUGGAAGGAUUUCCUAUGUCACACAGUAGAAUUCACGUAGCUUAAUGGAUGUUCAUCUUUAUGGUAAACCUUCAAUAAGCUGCCAGUAACAGAGAAAGAUUGUUCUUAUAAAGUUAGUGGUGGGAGCUCCACUUUACCUUCUGGUUACGUGUUCAAAGUAAAUGUGUAAUUUUCAUUUAGUGAAUCCAUUUCCUCUUUUGUAGCAUUAAGCCAGAACUGUGAGUAUUAUUAGUAUUGUACAGAUGGCAUAUUGGUCUCUCUGUGGCAAUCCUCUUCACCAUUUAAUAUGUUUGAGUUUACUUUUUAACAGCUUUCUUCGUAACAAAUUUCACACGCUGUGUUUGAGAACCAUUCUGGUGUCUGGUUAAUGCACUAGAUAAGAAGGACUGCUUUUUUCAUAUCCAACAAAGAUCCCUUUCACGCACUUUGAAUAUAACUUAUUUCUAUCAUACUUACAUGCAAAACCUUCGGACCCAAAAAUGCUUUAUUUUAGAAAGUUUAAAUAUUGUGACUGUUACCAGAUAAUGGGGAGUUUCUACUAGAAUGUUAUGAAAGCACCUGUUUCCGAUUUGGUUGAAUAUGGCCAUAAUUCUUUUGGCAAAUAAUGUUCGAUAAACAGACAUCUGGCCAUUUCAAAUAGUGUUCUGUAGUUUCUCUUAGUAGUACCACUUUGAUCGGGUGAGUAAGGUGCUGAGGUUUCAUGUCUAAUACCUUGCUUGUUUAGUAGCGACUGUAAACUCUCAGCCAUGAACUCAGUACCCUUGUCAAAUCUUAUACGCUUUAUGUUUCCAAAUGGGGCUGUGUCAUGAACUUUUCAACAGCUAACACUGCAUUACAUUUUCAGGAAGUAUACAAACACUGCUGCUAGGUAGUUAACAAUGAAUAUCAUAGCUUAUUUGAAAUAUUAUUUAGCUUGUCCUUUUAUGGGACCUGCGAAGCCAGUAUGCAGUAGUUUUAGCACACUCUGCCCUCUUUGGCUGCAAUUGUAACAAACAGCAUCAACGUUGUCCUGUUAUCUUUAAUAUAUAUACAUCAAAACCAAUACAUAAAAAAGCAUUUAAAAAUCAUUCAAAGAAUAUUAAGUACAAAACAUAUCAAUAUAUUAGAUCCAGCCACCAAUUAUGAAUGACAAUAUACUAACUUAAUUUAACAAUAAAUACAACAAAGAAAUAAUAGUCAAGAAAGUAAAUACAUUUAUAGAAAAAUCAGACUACAUACCGAGAGUAAAUAGAAAUAGAUAAGAAAUGAAUGAAAGUGUUGGAUACCCCAACAUUUCGGUGUAACCCCCUUUUCAAGGGAUGAUUCAAACUUUAUUCACAGAACAAGCAAGGAAAUCAUAUUAUGGGAAUCCACAAUAUAACAUUUUAAACAGUGGGAAUCAAAGGUAGUAGCAGCAUGGCCUUAUCCAUAGCUGGGAUCAGUGGUAACAAAGCUGAGUGUCUUUAGUUUGAAUGAUUAAUCCAGGAAGAGAGCGUAUAUAUCUGAAACCAUAAGAGAAUAGCAGUUUCUCCAGUCAGUUCCACUUAGUACAAUACAAUAUUGGUGCACAGGUUCACUGACUUCCAGAAAAUAUUGAAAAAAAUAUUUAAAACAUUUAACACAAAAAUGUAAAAAUAUAUACAUAUACAUAAAAUAUGACAGGCGCAAUUAUGUUCUGUUGUCAGAAAUGCACUUAUCUGAAAUGUUAAAGUUCAGUUUGAAUAACAAAACGACACAUAUUCAUAUCACAAGUAACACUCUUAAUUUAGUCGUCAAACGACAACAAGAUUACUAAUAUGUGAUUAAGAGUUCAAGAACAUCCGCAUAUUAGAUAUUAAUUCAACCAUUCCUUGAUGGAAGUCAGCAUAGGAACAGUAAAAAGCUAAAUUUUAUUAAAAGUGUAAAAAGUAACAUUUGUUUGAAAAGUAGAAUUGUUGCAUAUAGUUUAUUUAAUUUAUAAUGUUUAUAUUGUAUCUAACCUAUAUAUAAUAUAUAAUAAUUUUUCAAAAAUCACUAUGAUCUAGUCAAUUUUCCAGUCACAUUGACAUUGAUUUUCCAUUUUCUUUUUUAUAGGUUUUUUUAUGUGCCAAAAUAGUUUUUUUAGCUUCUGAACCUGUUGAAGAGGUUUCAGGGCAAGGAAUACCAAAUAAUCUGGGGUACUAUGUUCUCCCCCAAUAUUUCUAUGUAAAAAUGAAAUUGUACGAAACUUUAAUUUCUGGUGUCUCCGAUCAGCAGUCUUUUCAUAAAAAUUGAUGGUUUGUACUGCACAAAUUGAACAAGCAAAAGGAAAAUAAAUAACUGUACAUAACUUGGAUGUCAGGUGUCCCUGAUCAGCAAUCUCUUCAUACAAUUAAUGGUUUGUCUUAUGUUUGUGCACUAGCUAUGCAUUCUAUUUCUCAAAUUGUUUAUUAUAUUUAUAUGAAUAAUAAUACAUCUAUUAUAUAUUAUUCAGUAUUGUACAGGACACAGAAUUAGCAGCACCUAUGACCAUCCUUCAACACAUAAAAAAAAAUUUCUGAUGCCUGAUCAAAUAAACUUACAGUCCAAG